AGGACAAACGCUGGCGGCGUGCUUUAAACAUGCAAGUCGAACGGAUCGGUCCUUCGGGAUUGGUUAGUGGCAGACGGCUGAGUAACACGUAGCUGACCUGCCCGCGAGUGGGGGAUACCGCCGGGAAACCGGCGCUAAGACCGCAUACGCUCCCUUGGGUAGAGGUGAGGGAGGAAAGCCGAGAGGCGCUGGCGGAGGGGGCUGCGGCCCAUCAGGUAGUUGGUGGGGUAAGAGCUCACCAAGCCGACGACGGGUAGCUGGUCUGAGAGGAUGAUCAGCCAGACUGGGACUGGGAGACGGCCCAGACUCCUACGGGAGGCAGCAGUUAGGAAUCUUGCGCAAUGGGCGAAAGCCUGACGCAGCGACGCCGCGUGGGGGACGACGGGUUUCGGCCUGUAAACCCCUUUUCCCAGGGAAGAGCAAGGACGGUACCUGGGGAAUAAGCCCCGGCUAACUACGUGCCAGCAGCCGCGGUAAUACGUAGGGGGCAAGCGUUGUCCGGAUUUACUGGGCGUAAAGGGCGCGCAGGUGGCGUCAUCAGUCCGUCGUUAAAGCCUCGGGCUCAACUCGGGGUGGUCGGCGGGGACGGUGGUGCUUGGAGGCCGGUAGAGGAGCACGAAAUUCCCGGUGUAGUGGUGAAAUGCGUAGAGAUCGGGAGGAACACCAGUGGCGAAGGCGGUGCUCUGGGCCGGACCUGACGCUGAGGCGCGAAAGCGUGGGGAGCGAACCGGAUUAGAUACCCGGGUAGUCCACGCCCUAAACGGUGGCCACUAGGUGCGGGGGGUAUCGACCCCUCCCGUGCCGUAGCUAACGCAUUAAGUGGCCC
This 826-nucleotide ribosomal RNA is filed under the name uncultured bacterium. Its description in RNAcentral is "bacterial SSU rRNA". It matches the Rfam family "Bacterial small subunit ribosomal RNA", at positions 26 to 870 of the family's 1533-position model. The record is from RNAcentral.